This 515-nucleotide ribosomal RNA is filed under the name Staphylococcus aureus. Its description in RNAcentral is "partial 23S ribosomal RNA". It matches the Rfam family "Bacterial large subunit ribosomal RNA", at positions 145 to 656 of the family's 2925-position model. The record is from RNAcentral. Lineage: Bacteria; Bacillati; Bacillota; Bacilli; Caryophanales; Staphylococcaceae.
AUGUUAUCGAUAUGUGAAUACAUAGCAUAUCAGAAGGCACACCCGGAGAACUGAAACAUCUUAGUACCCGGAGGAAGAGAAAGAAAAUUCGAUUCCCUUAGUAGCGGCGAGCGAAACGGGAAGAGCCCAAACCAACAAGCUUGCUUGUUGGGGUUGUAGGACACUCUAUACGGAGUUACAAAGGACGACAUUAGACGAAUCAUCUGGAAAGAUGAAUCAAAGAAGGUAAUAAUCCUGUAGUCGAAAAUGUUGUCUCUCUUGAGUGGAUCCUGAGUACGACGGAGCACGUGAAAUUCCGUCGGAAUCUGGGAGGACCAUCUCCUAAGGCUAAAUACUCUCUAGUGACCGAUAGUGAACCAGUACCGUGAGGGAAAGGUGAAAAGCACCCCGGAAGGGGAGUGAAAUAGAACCUGAAACCGUGUGCUUACAAGUAGUCAGAGCCCGUUAAUGGGUGAUGGCGUGCCUUUUGUAGAAUGAACCGGCGAGUUACGAUUUGAUGCAAGGUUAAGCAGUAA